GAUCCUGGCUCAGGAUGAACGCUAGCUACAGGCUUAACACAUGCAAGUCGAGGGGAAACGACAUCGAAAGCUUGCUUUUGAUGGGCGUCGACCGGCGCACGGGUGAGUAACGCGUAUCCAACCUGCCCACCACUUGGGGAUAACCUUGCGAAAGUAAGACUAAUACCCGAUGAUAUCUCUAGAAGGCAUCUGAAAUGAAUUAAAGAUUUAUCGGUGAUGGAUGGGGAUGCGUCUGAUUAGCUUGUUGGCGGGGUAACGGCCCACCAAGGCGACGAUCAGUAGGGGUUCUGAGAGGAAGGUCCCCCACAUUGGAACUGAGACACGGUCCAAACUCCUACGGGAGGCAGCAGUGAGGAAUAUUGGUCAAUGGGCGAGAGCCUGAACCAGCCAAGUAGCGUGCAGGAUGACGGCCCUAUGGGUUGUAAACUGCUUUUAUAAGGGAAUAAAGUGGGUCUCGUGAGACUUUUUGCAUGUACCUUAUGAAUAGGGACCGGCUAAUUCCGUG
This 505-nucleotide ribosomal RNA is filed under the name uncultured bacterium. RNAcentral describes it as "bacterial SSU rRNA". It matches the Rfam family "Bacterial small subunit ribosomal RNA", at positions 15 to 507 of the family's 1533-position model. The record is from RNAcentral.